AUGAAGCUGGAAUCGCUAGUAAUCGCGGAUCAGAAUGCCGCGGUGAAUACGUUCCCGAGUCUUGUACACACCGCCCGUCACACCAUGGGAGUCGGAAAUGCCCGAAGUCUGUGACCCAACCUACGGGAGGGAGCAGCCGAAGGCAGGUCGGAUGACUGGGGUGAAGUCGUAACAAGGUACC
This 181-nucleotide ribosomal RNA is filed under the name uncultured bacterium. RNAcentral's name for it is "partial 16S ribosomal RNA". It matches the Rfam family "Bacterial small subunit ribosomal RNA", at positions 1320 to 1500 of the family's 1533-position model. The record is from RNAcentral.